This 464-nucleotide ribosomal RNA is filed under the name uncultured bacterium. Its description in RNAcentral is "bacterial SSU rRNA". It matches the Rfam family "Bacterial small subunit ribosomal RNA", at positions 917 to 1382 of the family's 1533-position model. The record is from RNAcentral.
GGGCCCGCACAAGCGGUGGAGCAUGUGGUUUAAUUCGACGCAACGCGAAGAACCUUACCUGGGCUUGAACUGCAGUGGACCGGUAUAGAGAUAUGCCUUUUCGCAAGAACUGCUGCAGAGGUGCUGCAUGGCUGUCGUCAGCUCGUGUCGUGAGAUGUUGGGUUAAGUCCCGCAACGAGCGCAACCCUUACCCGUAGUUGCCAGCGGUUCGGCCGGGAACUCUACGGGGACUGCCCGGGUUAACCGGGAGGAAGGUGGGGAUGAUGUCAAGUCCUCAUGGCCCUUAUGUCCAGGGCUACACACGUGCUACAAUGGGCGGUACAAACCGUUGCAAAGCCGCGAGGUGGAGCUAAUCGGAGAAAGCCGUCCUCAGUUCGGAUUGCAGUCUGCAACUCGACUGCAUGAAGUUGGAAUCGCUAGUAAUCGUGUAUCAGAAUGAUACGGUGAAUACGUUCCCGGGCCUU